This 434-nucleotide long non-coding RNA is filed under the name Vigna radiata. RNAcentral's name for it is "long non-coding RNA (VRAD_LNC004948)". The record is from RNAcentral. Lineage: Eukaryota; Viridiplantae; Streptophyta; Magnoliopsida; Fabales; Fabaceae.
CACACCUAAACGUGAAUCAAAAGAUCAAAUCAACAUUAAAGNCUACUCCUAUGUCUAGCUAUGCUAAAAUUAAAGCAAUUAAAGUUGCCAAGAGUUUGGAAAGAGCACCAUGGACUCUUCCAAUCUACUUGGACUUUAUAAGAGGCCUUUUACAACAAACAAAAAAAACUAAGACUAACAAUGAUACUGACACAAGCCCAUCAAAUACAAAGAAAAAGAAAAAAAAAACAAACAAAACUAUGAUAUUGGUCUACUACGGCCCAACACUGCUACACUGCUGCUAAAGUCCCCUGUUGCUACGGUCCAGUUCAUCUCUCACGAAAUCUUCAAAUGUCCAAAUAUUCCUUGCAGCUCUCGGUCUAAAUAAAAAAUGUCCAAUCCUGCAAACACAAAUAAUCACANAGCUUUUGUCACUUGCACCCCUUUAACCAAAC